Molecule: ribosomal RNA, 200 nt
Filed under: uncultured bacterium
Lineage: Bacteria
Description: partial 16S ribosomal RNA
Rfam family: Bacterial small subunit ribosomal RNA
Source: RNAcentral
AUUGAACGCUGGCGGCAGGCUUAACACAUGCAAGUCGAGCGGGGGAGAUUACUUCGGUAAUUGACCUAGCGGCGGACGGGUGAGUAAUACUUAGGAAUCUGCCCAUUAAUGGGGGACAACAUCUCGAAAGGGAUGCUAAUACCGCAUACGCCCUACGGGGAAAGCAGGGGAUCACUUGUGACCUUGCGUUAAUAGAUGAG